This 623-nucleotide ribosomal RNA is filed under the name Bradyrhizobium japonicum. RNAcentral's name for it is "bacterial SSU rRNA". It matches the Rfam family "Bacterial small subunit ribosomal RNA", at positions 55 to 722 of the family's 1533-position model. Lineage: Bacteria; Pseudomonadati; Pseudomonadota; Alphaproteobacteria; Hyphomicrobiales; Nitrobacteraceae. The record is from RNAcentral.
AUGCAAGUCGAGCGGGCGUAGCAAUACGUCAGCGGCAGACGGGUGAGUAACGCGUGGGAACGUACCUUUUGGUUCGGAACAACACAGGGAAACUUGUGCUAAUACCGGAUAAGCCCUUACGGGGAAAGAUUUAUCGCCGAAAGAUCGGCCCGCGUCUGAUUAGCUAGUUGGUGAGGUAAUGGCUCACCAAGGCGACGAUCAGUAGCUGGUCUGAGAGGAUGAUCAGCCACAUUGGGACUGAGACACGGCCCAAACUCCUACGGGAGGCAGCAGUGGGGAAUAUUGGACAAUGGGGGCAACCCUGAUCCAGCCAUGCCGCGUGAGUGAUGAAGGCCCUAGGGUUGUAAAGCUCUUUUGUGCGGGAAGAUAAUGACGGUACCGCAAGAAUAAGCCCCGGCUAACUUCGUGCCAGCAGCCGCGGUAAUACGAAGGGGGCUAGCGUUGCUCGGAAUCACUGGGCGUAAAGGGUGCGUAGGCGGGUCUUUAAGUCAGGGGUGAAAUCCUGGAGCUCAACUCCAGAACUGCCUUUGAUACUGAGGAUCUUGAGUUCGGGAGAGGUGAGUGGAACUGCGAGUGUAGAGGUGAAAUUCGUAGAUAUUCGCAAGAGCACCAGUGGCGAAGGC